AACGAACGCUGGCGGCAUGCCUAACACAUGCAAGUCGAACGAGACCUUCGGGUCUAGUGGCGCACGGGUGCGUAACGCGUGGGAACCUGCCCUUAGGUUCGGAAUAACUCCCCGAAAGGGGUGCUAAUACCGGAUAAUGUCUUCGGACCAAAGAUUUAUCGCGUUUGGAUGGGCCCGCGUUGGAUUAGCUAGUUGGUAGGGUAAAAGCCUACCAAGGCGACGAUCCAUAGCUGGUCUGAGAGGCUGAUCAGCCACACUGGGACUGAGACACGGCCCAGACUCCUACGGGAGGCAGCAGUGGGGAAUAUUGGACAAUGGGCGAAAGCCUGAUCCAGCAAUGCCGCGUGAGUGAUGAAGGCCUUAGGGUUGUAAAGCUCUUUUACCCGGGAUGAUAAUGACGGUACCGGGAGAAUAAGCUCCGGCUAACUCCGUG
This 433-nucleotide ribosomal RNA is filed under the name uncultured bacterium. RNAcentral's name for it is "partial 16S ribosomal RNA". It matches the Rfam family "Bacterial small subunit ribosomal RNA", at positions 29 to 507 of the family's 1533-position model. The record is from RNAcentral.